This is an RNA transcript of Cebus imitator (Panamanian white-faced capuchin), 1523 nucleotides long. It is a transcript of the gene named keratin, type I cytoskeletal 18-like, with no coding region annotated. NCBI's taxonomy places the organism in Eukaryota, Metazoa, Chordata, Mammalia, Primates, Cebidae. The record is from RefSeq and is a predicted model, not a curated record. The transcript is spliced from 2 exons.
AUGUGGCAACAUGCUAGUAAAGAGGAAAGCGAGGGAGUUGCAGCCAGAGAGAAGGGUCAGGCUACCCACAAGGGGAAGCCCAUCAGACUCACAGCAGAUCUCUCUGCAGAAACCCUACUAGCCAGAAUAGAGUGGAGGCCAAUAUUCGACAUUCUUAAAGAAGAGAAUUUUUGUCAUUGGCAAAACCUAAGUCCUGUCCUCUCACUCUCCUCCCUGGGCAGCAUGAGCUUCACCAAUGCUCCACCUUCUCCACCAACUACCAGUCCCUGGGCUCCAUCCAAUACAGUGCCCAGCCAGUCAGCAGCCAGCCUGCAUCCAUGCAGGUGCUGAGGGCUCUGGUUCCUGGAUCUCCAUGUCCCACUCCACCAGUUUCUGGUGCAGCAGGGGUUCUGGGGGCCUGGCUGCAGGGAUGACCAGGGGUCUGGCAGAGAUGGGAGGCAUCCUGAAUGAGAAGGAGACCAUGCAAAGCCUGAAAGCAGUUGCCUGGCCUCCUACCUAGAUAGAGUGAGGAGCCUGGAGACUAAGAACCAGAAGCUGGAGAGCAAAAUCCAGGAGCACCUGGAUUUUGGAAGGGGCCCCAGGUCAGAGACUGGAGUCAUUACUUCAAGACCAUUGAGGACCUGAGGGCUCAUAUCUUUGCAAAUACUGUGGACAAUGCCCUCAUUGUUCUUCAGAUUGACAAUUCCUGUCUUGCUGCUGAUGACUUUAGAGUCAAGUAUGAGACAGAGAUCGAGGCUGUCAAGGAGGAGCUGCUCUUCAUGAACAAGAACCACAAAAAGGAAGUAAAAGGCCUACAAGCCCAGAUUGCCAGCUCUGGGUUGACCAUGGAGGUAGAUGCCCCCACAUCUCAGGACCUUGCCAAGAUCAUGCAGACAUCUGGGCCCAAUAUGAUGAGCUGUCUCAGAAGAACUGAGAGGAGCUGGAUAAGUACUGGUCUCAGCAGAUUGAGGAGAGUACCACAGUGGUCACCACACAGUCUGCUGAGGUUGGAGCUGCUGAGAUGACACUCACGGAGCUGAGAUGUACAGUCCAGUCCUAGGAGAUCGACCUAGGCUCCAUGAGAAAUAAGACCAGCUUGGAAAACAGCCCGAGGGAGGUGGAGGCCCACUCCACCCUGCAGAUGGAAUGGCUCAACAGGAGCCUGCUGCACCUGGAGUCAGACCUGGCUCAAACCCAGGCAGAGGGACAGUGCCAGGCCCAGGAGUACCGGGCUCUACUGAACAUUAAGGUCAAGCUGGAGGCUAAGAUCACCACCUACCACCACCUUCUGGAAGAUGGCAAGGACUUCAAUCUUGGUGAUGCCCUGGACAGCAGCAACUCCACGCAAACCAUCCAAAAGACCACCACCCGCCAGAUACUGGAUGGCAGAGUGGUGUCUGAGACCAAUGACACCAAAGUUCUGAGACAUUAAGCCAGCAGAAGCAGGGGACCUUUUGGGGAGCAGGAGGCCAAUAAAAAGUUCAGAAAUCAAAGAAAAAACAGAAAAGAGAAGAAUUUUCAACCCAGAAUUUCAUAUCCAGCCA